AUCCCAGUCUGAGUCCUCUGAGGAAGCAGAUGAGCACCCUGAGACAGUGCCAGAGACUGUGAGCAGUUUGGAUGAAGUCAGUCAGGAUUCAACCAAGAAGGAACAAGAUGUACUGGAGUGAGAAAACACAGCAGCACGUGGAUCCCAACGCUCACUCAUCACCCAGUGGCUGAGCUGUACUGAGCUUACUGACAAUAAAAGGGAACUAUCCACCUAUCGGUACAACCUCUCUGUCCUUUUUUGUUUCAUGUUACAUGCUGUGACAAAAUACUUCUGCAGUCUUUCAGAACUGCUUUUUGGUUCUUUUCCUAAGAUAAUAUAACAUUAUUUUACCACAUGAAACUGAAUUUGAGGGUAUGAAGUUGCAAUAUAUUUGCAGU
Molecule: long non-coding RNA, 380 nt
Organism: Perca flavescens (yellow perch)
Lineage: Eukaryota; Metazoa; Chordata; Actinopteri; Perciformes; Percidae
Exons: 4
Source: RefSeq, a predicted model, not a curated record